CCUACGGGUGGCUGCAGUGGGGAAUAUUGGACAAUGGGGGAAACCCUGAUCCAGCAAUGCCGCGUGUGUGAAGAAGGCCUGCGGGUUGUAAAGCACUUUCGGUUGGGAAGAAAAGUUUGGCGCCAAUACCGCCGAACCUUGACGUUACUGACAGAAGAAGCACCGGCUAACUCUGUGCCAGCAGCCGCGGUAAUACAUACGGUGCAAGCGUUAAUCGGAAGCACUGAGCGGAUCACGUGAGUCGGUGGUGAAAUCCCCGGGCUUAACCUGGGAACUGCAGUCGAUACUACAUGGCUAGAGUAUGGUAGAGGGAAGUGGAAUUUCCGGUGUAGCGGUGAAAUGCGUAGAUAUCGGAAGGAACACCAAUGGCGAAGGCAGCUUCCUGGACUAAUACUGACGCUGAGGCACGAAAGCGUGGGUAGCAAACAGGAUUAGAUACCCGUGUAGUC
This 449-nucleotide ribosomal RNA is filed under the name uncultured bacterium. RNAcentral describes it as "partial 16S ribosomal RNA". It matches the Rfam family "Bacterial small subunit ribosomal RNA", at positions 338 to 795 of the family's 1533-position model. The record is from RNAcentral.